This 497-nucleotide ribosomal RNA is filed under the name uncultured bacterium. Its description in RNAcentral is "partial 16S ribosomal RNA". It matches the Rfam family "Bacterial small subunit ribosomal RNA", at positions 28 to 507 of the family's 1533-position model. The record is from RNAcentral.
GAUGAACGCUGGCGGCGUGCCUAAUACAUGCAAGUCGAGCGAACGGACGAGAAGCUUGCUUCUCUGAUGUUAGCGGCGGACGGGUGAGUAACACGUGGAUAACCUACCUAUAAGACUGGGAUAACUUCGGGAAACCGGAGCUAAUACCGGAUAAUAUUUUGAACCGCAUGGUUCAAAAGUGAAAGACGGUCUUGCUGUCACUUAUAGAUGGAUCCGCGCUGCAUUAGCUAGUUGGUAAGGUAACGGCUUACCAAGGCAACGAUGCAUAGCCGACCUGAGAGGGUGAUCGGCCACACUGGAACUGAGACACGGUCCAGACUCCUACGGGAGGCAGCAGUAGGGAAUCUUCCGCAAUGGGCGAAAGCCUGACGGAGCAACGCCGCGUGAGUGAUGAAGGUCUUCGGAUCGUAAAACUCUGUUAUUAGGGAAGAACAUAUGUGUAAGUAACUGUGCACAUCCUGACGGUACCUAAUCAGAAAGCCACGGCUAACUACGUA